AAUUCGAUUGAGUUUGAUCAUGGCUCAGAACGAACGCUGGCGGCAUGCCUAACACAUGCAAGUCGAACGAGACCUUCGGGUCUAGUGGCGCACGGGUGCGUAACGCGUGGGAAUCUGCCCUUAGGUACGGAAUAACAGUGAGAAAUUACUGCUAAUACCGUAUGAUGUCUUCGGACCAAAGAUUUAUCGCCUAGGGAUGAGCCCGCGUUGGAUUAGCUAGUUGGUGGGGUAAAGGCCUACCAAGGCGACGAUCCAUAGCUGGUCUGAGAGGAUGAUCAGCCACACUGGGACUGAGACACGGCCCAGACUCCUACGGGAGGCAGCAGUGGGGAAUAUUGGACAAUGGGCGAAAGCCUGAUCCAGCAAUGCCGCGUGAGUGAAGAAGGCCUUCGGGUUGUAAAGCUCUUUUACCCGGGAAGAUAAUGACUGUACCGGGAGAAUAAGCCCCGGCUAACUCCGUGCCAGCAGCCGCGGUAAUACGGAGGGGGCUAGCGUUGUUCGGAAUUACUGGGCGUAAAGCGUACGUAGGCGGCUUUUUAAGUCAGAGGUGAAAUCCCGGUGCUCAACACCGGAACUGCCUUUGAGACUGGGUCGCUUGAUCACGGGAGAGGUUAGUGGAAUUCCGAGUGUAGAGGUGAAAUUCGUAGAUAUUCGGAAGAACACCAGUGGCGAAGGCGGCUAACUGGACCGUUGAUGACGCU
This 701-nucleotide ribosomal RNA is filed under the name uncultured bacterium. Its description in RNAcentral is "bacterial SSU rRNA". It matches the Rfam family "Bacterial small subunit ribosomal RNA", at positions 1 to 747 of the family's 1533-position model. The record is from RNAcentral.